AUUGAACGCUGGCGGAAUGCUUUACACAUGCAAGUCGAACGGUAGAGGGGGCAACCCCCUUGAGAGUGGCGAACGGGUGAGUAAUAUAUCGGAACGUGCCCAGUCGUGGGGAUAACGUAGCGAAAGUUACGCUAAUACCGCAUACGAUCUAAGGAUGAAAGCGGGGGAUCGCAAGACCUCGCGCGAUUGGAGCGGCCGAUAUCAGAUUAGGUAGUUGGUGAGGUAAAGGCUCACCAAGCCAACGAUCUGUAGCUGGUCUGAGAGGACGACCAGCCACACUGGAACUGAGACACGGUCCAGACUCCUACGGGAGGCAGCAGUGGGGAAUUUUGGACAAUGGACGCAAGUCUGAUCCAGCCAUUCCGCGUGCAGGAUGAAGGCCCUCGGGUUGUAAACUGCUUUUGUACGGAACGAAAAGGUUUCUAUUAAUACUAGGAGCUCAUGACGGUACCGUAAGAAUAAGCACCGGCUAACUACGUGCCAGCAGCCGCGGUAAAGUGACUAC
RNAcentral lists this ribosomal RNA (505 nucleotides) under uncultured bacterium. RNAcentral's name for it is "bacterial SSU rRNA". It matches the Rfam family "Bacterial small subunit ribosomal RNA", at positions 30 to 530 of the family's 1533-position model. The record is from RNAcentral.